GCGCUUGCUCACUCCACGAUAUGAGCGGCGUACAUCCUAAAGGAGGUACUGUCAACCCGUAAGGCUUGCGGUGCGGCAGCGUGGAGACCUGUCGUAAUGCGGAGUGUUCCUGAUAUAAAUGAAAAUAUGAUAUCAUUUAUAUAUGCGUAUGCCCGUGAGGCGAUUUUGCGGAGGCAUUUUCGUCAGAGCCGAUUUUAUG
Molecule: non-coding RNA, 199 nt
Filed under: uncultured Ruminococcus sp.
Lineage: Bacteria; Bacillati; Bacillota; Clostridia; Eubacteriales; Oscillospiraceae
Description: malK-I RNA
Rfam family: malK-I RNA
Source: RNAcentral